RNAcentral lists this ribosomal RNA (430 nucleotides) under Acidobacteriota bacterium. Its description in RNAcentral is "Acidobacteria bacterium partial 16S ribosomal RNA". It matches the Rfam family "Bacterial small subunit ribosomal RNA", at positions 355 to 776 of the family's 1533-position model. The record is from RNAcentral. Lineage: Bacteria; Pseudomonadati; Acidobacteriota.
UGGGGAAUAUUGGACAAUGGGCGCAAGCCUGAUCCAGCCAUGCCGCGUGUGUGAAGAAGGCCUUUUGGUUGUAAAGCACUUUAAGCGAGGAGGAGGCUACUUGGAUUAAUACUCUAGGAUAGUGGACGUUACUCGCAGAAUAAGCACCGGCUAACUCUGUGCCAGCAGCCGCGGUAAUACAGAGGGUGCGAGCGUUAAUCGGAUUUACUGGGCGUAAAGCGUGCGUAGGCGGCUUCUUAAGUCGGAUGUGAAAUCCCUGAGCUUAACUUAGGAAUUGCAUUAGAUACUGGGAAGCUAGAGUAUGGGAGAGGAUGGUAGAAUUCCAGGUGUGGCGGUGAAAUGCGUAGAGAUCUGGAGGAAUACCGAUGGCGAAGGCAGCCAUCUGGCCUAAUACUGACGCUGAGGUACGAAAGCAUGGGGAGCAAACAGG